RNAcentral lists this ribosomal RNA (1095 nucleotides) under Escherichia coli. RNAcentral describes it as "partial 23S ribosomal RNA". It matches the Rfam family "Bacterial large subunit ribosomal RNA", at positions 659 to 1754 of the family's 2925-position model. Lineage: Bacteria; Pseudomonadati; Pseudomonadota; Gammaproteobacteria; Enterobacterales; Enterobacteriaceae. The record is from RNAcentral.
AGGGGAGCCGAAGGGAAACCGAGUCUUAACUGGGCGUUAAGUUGCAGGGUAUAGACCCGAAACCCGGUGAUCUAGCCAUGGGCAGGUUGAAGGUUGGGUAACACUAACUGGAGGACCGAACCGACUAAUGUUGAAAAAUUAGCGGAUGACUUGUGGCUGGGGGUGAAAGGCCAAUCAAACCGGGAGAUAGCUGGUUCUCCCCGAAAGCUAUUUAGGUAGCGCCUCGUGAAUUCAUCUCCGGGGGUAGAGCACUGUUUCGGCAAGGGGGUCAUCCCGACUUACCAACCCGAUGCAAACUGCGAAUACCGGAGAAUGUUAUCACGGGAGACACACGGCGGGUGCUAACGUCCGUCGUGAAGAGGGAAACAACCCAGACCGCCAGCUAAGGUCCCAAAGUCAUGGUUAAGUGGGAAACGAUGUGGGAAGGCCCAGACAGCCAGGAUGUUGGCUUAGAAGCAGCCAUCAUUUAAAGAAAGCGUAAUAGCUCACUGGUCGAGUCGGCCUGCGCGGAAGAUGUAACGGGGCUAAACCAUGCACCGAAGCUGCGGCAGCGACACUGUGUGUUGUUGGGUAGGGGAGCGUUCUGUAAGCCUGUGAAGGUGUGCUGUGAGGCAUGCUGGAGGUAUCAGAAGUGCGAAUGCUGACAUAAGUAACGAUAAAGCGGGUGAAAAGCCCGCUCGCCGGAAGACCAAGGGUUCCUGUCCAACGUUAAUCGGGGCAGGGUGAGUCGACCCCUAAGGCGAGGCCGAAAGGCGUAGUCGAUGGGAAACAGGUUAAUAUUCCUGUACUUGGUGUUACUGCGAAGGGGGGACGGAGAAGGCUAUGUUGGCCGGGCGACGGUUGUCCCGGUUUAAGCGUGUAGGCUGGUUUUCCAGGCAAAUCCGGAAAAUCAAGGCUGAGGCGUGAUGACGAGGCACUACGGUGCUGAAGCAACAAAUGCCCUGCUUCCAGGAAAAGCCUCUAAGCAUCAGGUAACAUCAAAUCGUACCCCAAACCGACACAGGUGGUCAGGUAGAGAAUACCAAGGCGCUUGAGAGAACUCGGGUGAAGGAACUAGGCAAAAUGGUGCCGUAACUUCGGGAGAAGGCACGCUGA